Molecule: ribosomal RNA, 606 nt
Filed under: Rhodotorula glutinis
Lineage: Eukaryota; Fungi; Basidiomycota; Microbotryomycetes; Sporidiobolales; Sporidiobolaceae
Description: eukaryotic LSU rRNA
Rfam family: 5.8S ribosomal RNA (bases 178-332)
Source: RNAcentral
GGAGCAGUGGCGUGGAAACAUAUCAUAAGCGGAAGGAGCAUAUCAAUAAGCGGAGGAGCAUAUCAAUAAGCGGAGGAGCAUAUCAAUAAGCGGAGGAGCAUAUCAAUAAGCGGAGGAACAUAUCAAUAAGCGGAGGAACAUAUCAAUAAGCGGAGGAACAUAUUUUUUAGCGGAGGAAACUUUCAACAACGGAAUCUCUUGGCUCUCGCAUCGAUGAAGAACGCAGCGAAAUGCGAUACGUAAUGUGAAUUGCAGAAUUCAGUGAAUCAUCGAAUCUUUGAACGCACCUUGCGCUCCUUGGUAUUCCGAGGAGCAUGCCUGUUUGAGUGUCAUGAAAUCUUCAACCCACCUCUUUCUUAGUGAAUCUGGUGGUGCUUGGUUUCUGAGCGCUGCUCUGCUUCGGCUUAGCUCGUUCGUAAUGCAUUAGCAUCCGCAACCGAACUUCGGAUUGACUUGGCGUAAUAGACUAUUCGCUGAGGAUUCUAGUUUACUAGAGCCGAGUUGGGUUAAAGGAAGCUCCUAAUCCUAAAGUCUAUUUUUUGAUUAGAUCUCAAAUCAGGUAGGACUACCCGCUGAACUUAAGCAUAUCAAUAAGCGGAGGAAAAA